Molecule: ribosomal RNA, 736 nt
Filed under: uncultured bacterium
Lineage: Bacteria
Description: bacterial SSU rRNA
Rfam family: Bacterial small subunit ribosomal RNA
Source: RNAcentral
CGGCGAGUGGCGGACGGGUGAGUAAAGCAUAGGAAUCUACCCUAUAGUGGGGGAUAACCUGGGGAAACCUGGGCUAAUACCGCAUACGUUCUGAGGAAGAAAGUUAGGGGCAACUCUGACGCUAUGGGAUGAGCCUAUGUCUGAUUAGCUAGUUGGUUAGGUAAAGGCUGACCAAGGCUAUGAUCGGUAACUGGUCUGAGAGGACGGACAGUCACACUGGGACUGAGACACGGCCCAGACUCCUACGGGAGGCAGCAGUGGGGAAUAUUGGACAAUGGGGGCAACCCUGAUCCAGCGAUGCCGCGUGUGUGAAGAAGGCCUGCGGGUUGUAAAGCACUUUUAUUGGGGAAGAGUGAUGUGGUGGUGAAUAGCCAUUGCAUUUGACGGUACCCAAGGAAUAAGCACCGGCUAACUCUGUGCCAGCAGCCGCGGUAAUACAGAGGGUGCGAGCGUUAAUCGGAAUUACUGGGCGUAAAGGGCGCGUAGGCGGGCUAGUAAGUCAGAUGUGAAAGUCCUGGGCUUAACCUGGGGAUUGCAUUUGAAACUGCUGGUCUGGAGUGAAGUAGAGGGUGGCGGAAUUUCCGGUGUAGCGGUGAAAUGCGUAGAUAUCGGAAGGAACACCAGUGGCGAAGGCGGCCACCUGGACUUUAACUGACGCUGAGGCGCGAAAGCGUGGGGAGCGAACAGGAUUAGAUACCCUGGUAGUCCACGCUGUAAACGAUGAGAACUAGCUGUU